This 1361-nucleotide ribosomal RNA is filed under the name uncultured bacterium. Its description in RNAcentral is "bacterial SSU rRNA". It matches the Rfam family "Bacterial small subunit ribosomal RNA", at positions 28 to 1381 of the family's 1533-position model. The record is from RNAcentral.
AUUGAACGCUGGCGGCAGGCCUAACACAUGCAAGUCGAACGGUAGCACAGAGAGCUUGCUCUCGGGUGACGAGUGGCGGACGGGUGAGUAAUGUCUGGGAAACUGCCUGAUGGAGGGGGAUAACUACUGGAAACGGUAGCUAAUACCGCAUAACGUCGCAAGACCAAAGAGGGGGACCUUCGGGCCUCUUGCCAUCAGAUGUGCCCAGAUGGGAUUAGCUAGUAGGUGGGGUAACGGCUCACCUAGGCGACGAUCCCUAGCUGGUCUGAGAGGAUGACCAGCCACACUGGAACUGAGACACGGUCCAGACUCCUACGGGAGGCAGCAGUGGGGAAUAUUGCACAAUGGGCGCAAGCCUGAUGCAGCCAUGCCGCGUGUAUGAAGAAGGCCUUCGGGUUGUAAAGUACUUUCAGCGGGGAGGAAGGCGAUAAGGUUAAUAACCUUGUCGAUUGACGUUACCCGCAGAAGAAGCACCGGCUAACUCCGUGCCAGCAGCCGCGAUAAUACGGAGGGUGCAAGCGUUAAUCGGAAUUACUGGGCGUAAAGCGCACGCAGGCGGUCUGUCAAGUCGGAUGUGAAAUCCCCGGGCUCAACCUGGGAACUGCAUUCGAAACUGGCAGGCUGGAGUCUUGUAGAGGGGGGUAGAAUUCCAGGUGUAGCGGUGAAAUGCGUAGAGAUCUGGAGGAAUACCGGUGGCGAAGGCGGCCCCCUGGACAAAGACUGACGCUCAGGUGCGAAAGCGUGGGGAGCAAACAGGAUUAGAUACCCUGGUAGUCCACGCUGUAAACGAUGUCGACUUGGAGGUUGUUCCCUUGAGGAGUGGCUUCCGGAGCUAACGCGUUAAGUCGACCGCCUGGGGAGUACGGCCGCAAGGUUAAAACUCAAAUGAAUUGACGGGGGCCCGCACAAGCGGUGGAGCAUGUGGUUUAAUUCGAUGCAACGCGAAGAACCUUACCUACUCUUGACAUCCAGAGAACUUAGCAGAGAUGCUUUGGUGCCUUCGGGAACUCUGAGACAGGUGCUGCAUGGCUGUCGUCAGCUCGUGUUGUGAAAUGUUGGGUUAAGUCCCGCAACGAGCGCAACCCUUAUCCUUUGUUGCCAGCGGUCCGGCCGGGAACUCAAAGGAGACUGCCAGUGAUAAACUGGAGGAAGGUGGGGAUGACGUCAAGUCAUCAUGGCCCUUACGAGUAGGGCUACACACGUGCUACAAUGGCAUAUACAAAGAGAAGCGACCUCGCGAGAGCAAGCGGACCUCAUAAAGUAUGUCGUAGUCCGGAUUGGAGUCUGCAACUCGACUCCAUGAAGUCGGAAUCGCUAGUAAUCGUGGAUCAGAAUGCCACGGUGAAUACGUUCCCGGGCCU